This 468-nucleotide ribosomal RNA is filed under the name uncultured bacterium. Its description in RNAcentral is "partial 16S ribosomal RNA". It matches the Rfam family "Bacterial small subunit ribosomal RNA", at positions 28 to 507 of the family's 1533-position model. The record is from RNAcentral.
GACGAACGCUGGCGGCGUGCUUAACACAUGCAAGUCGAACGGAAAGGCCCUGCUUUUGUGGGGUGCUCGAGUGGCGAACGGGUGAGUAACACGUGAGUAACCUGCCCUUGACUUUGGGAUAACUUCAGGAAACUGGGGCUAAUACCGGAUAGGAGCUCCUGCUGCAUGGUGGGGGUUGGAGAGUUUCGGCGGUGGGGGAUGGACUCGCGGCUUAUCAGCUUGUUGGUGGGGUAGUGGCUUACCAAGGCUUUGACGGGUAGCCGGCCUGAGAGGGUGACCGGCCACAUUGGGACUGAGAUACGGCCCAGACGCAUACGGGAGGCAGCAGUGGGGAAUAUGGCACAAUGGGCGGAAGCCUGAGGCAGCAACGCCGCGUGCGGGAUGACGGCCUUCGGGUUGUAAACCGCUGUCGCCUGUGACGAAGAGUGAGUGACGGUAAUGGGUAAAGAAGCACCGGCUAACUACGUG